UACCAGGUGCAGCAUGCGUGUCCUGCAAUUGGAGGUGGGGCGAGCCGCCCAUGGGGGUGGGGCGCACUGCAUGGAGCCUCUCCACCACGUCCCCCUCAGCUGUAGGGAGGCUGAGGGAGAGGCGGAGAGCAGACACAAGUCCCAUGCUGCUGUUUCAGGCAGCGCAGAGCCGGCAGGCACCCAAGCCACCACAUCACUCCCAGGAGAGACAUGUGGCUCGGGCAUGCUGCAGGCCCCGCGGUAAGUGCCGGCCCAUGCGGUGUGGCACCCAGUGCCAGCUGUGUUUCGUUACAUUUGAUGACUGAACAAAAAAAAAUGUGAGCCCAAUUUAUUUAUUUAUUUAUUUAUUUUUAUUAUUAAAAACUCAUAUUUUUGUUAUUUGGUCACCCCCCUCAGUGAUGACACCCGGGGCAGACAGCCCCCCCGCACUUCCUUCCUCCACCACUGCUCAUGUAUUGCUCUGUUCCAAGCAAUGAUCCAGUGCUUCCUACUGCUUGCUAGGAUCAAGAGACCUUUCAAUUCAUUGGGUUAUAAAUAACGCAAGUGCUGAUACUAUUGGCCUCCACAAAAACACGAAUAGAACAUGUCAUCCAAAUUAGCACUUUAAUUGGGAAGAUAUGGACGGCUUUGUCAUCAGCUUUCUGCAAACCCCUUUCUGAUCAAGCUCUGUGCAUUUAAUUAUUCACAGUUUAACCUCAGAGAUAAUGUCUGUGUCUCUUGCAAGACUCCCAAGUGCCGGGACGAGUCCAAAAUCCAUGAACUCAGGAGCAACUCUCUAAUUUGAGAGUAACCAUCUUUAAAUUAAAAAUGAACCCAGUCUUUGUUCUGCAUCUGUCUGUCUGUCUGUCUAUCUGUAUCUCACUGUACAGUCAAACUCUGGAAAACAUCAGUGAUGCCAUCUGGGAUCUAAUCUCCAACCUGGAAGCUACUCAUCUUUUAGGACACUGAUUUUUAUGAGUGUGGCUUCUCUAUGGUUUGGUUCCAUGUCACGCUAGUAAUGAUUGGAUAAGAACAUGAGCAUAGCAGCAUAAGAAGAGCCUGCCAGAACAGCCAGUGGCUCAUCUGGUCCAGCAUCCUGACAGGAGUCAAGCAGAUGCCUGUGAGAAACCCACAAGCCAGACCCAAGCACAAGAGCCCUCUCCUGUCCAGUGGUUUCAACAUCUGGAGGCAGAGCAUUGACAUUGUGGCUAAUAGCCAUGGAUAGCCCUCUGCUUCAUGAAUCUAUCCAAUCCUCUUUUAAAACCAUCCAAGUUGGCGGCCAUCACUGCCUCCUGUGGGAGCAAGUUUCCUAGUUAACUGUGCACUAUGGACUCACAUGGGUUGGGGCAAGGGCUUAGAUCCUUCCCACAAAAACACUGGCUGACACCAAGAGUGCAGUGCUGGCAUGGGAAAAGAACCUACAUGGGGCAUGUGGGAACUCUGCUCAUCCCUGUGGUUUUCAUCCAGAGGUUUCUCGGAUGUCACUGGACCUCAUUGUGGGAGAUCAGCUCCAAUGCUCACAGUGAAUGAACAUAUUCUCUCCUAAGUAGGGUUAUGGCCUUGUGGCAGAGCACAUAUUUUUCCACCCAGGAACUUCCAGGCACAAUAGCUGGCAUUGUUAGGAUUUUGUGUAGCAGGGUUAGACAAAAUCUUGUCCCUUAGACCUUCUAGAACUGCUGGCAGUGAGAGUAGUGAAUAUGUUCCAAACUCCAUUAUCAUGGGUGGGGAACCUCUGGCCCUCUAGAGGUUGUUGGACCACGUCUCACCCUUCAUGACGAUGGCUGUGCAGGCUGGGGUUGGUGAAGGUUGGAGUCUGAUAAGAUCUGGAGGCUUCUUCAUCCCCACAGCACAAGGGAGGGGGGCCGUAUGUCCUGCUUUACAGAGGACAGCCCUCUCUCCAAAGGAGUCUUGUCAUGUCCAAGCCAGGCUUAAAGAUUUCAAAGAAUGAGAAGCGAAAGCAGAAGACCCUUGCAGUUGCCCAUCAAGAACUGGUGACUGAGCAGCAGACCAAGGAAGUGUCAUCUUGUCCACUAGGUUGACACAUAGUACAUUUCUAUUUAAAUUUUUGUUUUAAGUAUCCAACUUUAUAUAAAAAUCAGCAUGUUUUUCUCCACUAUUUAUUUAUUUAUUAUGUCAUAAAAUUUACAUGAAGCUUGAUUGCAAAAAGGACUUUCUAAGCAUUUUAUAAAAAUAACAAAACAAUGCAUGUAUCUAUACAAACUGUUAAAAACAGCAGUUUUUAAAAUUCAAAAAGAUAAAAUCAGCAAUAAACUAAAAACAAAUCAAAACACAUAUCAACAUUCUAGAUCUAUGAGUAGGCUUGUCGAAACAAAAAAUGUUUUGAGCCGGCACCCAAAAGUGUACCAUGAAGGAGCUUGCCUGAUACCAAUCAGCAGGGAGUUCCACAGGGUGAGGUGCCAGCCAAAGUGUAAGACACUUUCAUGCUUCCUCACCAGAUUCCUCACCUAUCUCAUUUGUGUCUGAUGCUCACAUUCCAAGUCCCCCACCAUCACCACCACCACAACAACAAAAACACCCCUCACCAAAUCAAUUAUUUCAAUAACUGCAGGUUCCUAUAGGUUACAUGCCAGCUGUCAGGAGAGGCACAACAGCAACAAAACUCAGGCCUGUGGGGACUUUUAAAGUGUGGGUUAUUUGAAAAAGAAUGACUCCAUAUGGCAUAUUUUAAAGGCAAAUCGAGGAUGAUAUGCUUGGUGGUUUCUGGAGUUCUUUAUUUCCACUCUGGUGCCUCAUUUAAUCCAGAUGACAAAUGCUUUGAGCAAUCCAAAUAAUAAAAGACCAUCAUCUCCUGUCCAGGGCAAAGAGAACCAGCUCCUCACACCAGAGCAAAAGAAACAUUUCUGCGGCAUGCUUCCCUGCAGCCUCCUCCACUGCUAGCCCAAGGGAGGAUUUAGCAAAUGAUGUCUUCUCCUGGACUUUGAUUGGCUACCUGGGAAAGUAGCAGAGUGCAGACCCCUGGUAAGAUGAUUUGCAGAAUGAAAGAAAGCAAGGAAACUCACAAACACCACUUGGAAAGUAAGUCAAGCGCACCAAAAAGUCUGCACUGUGGUAGCUCCAUGUGUCUGUGGCACAAACACAGCUGAGUGCAGAUCGCCUGGUGACAUUCAAGUACAGCAGGUGCCACUGGCCUGACCUUGGAUGUCUCCAGGAAACACAGUGUUUUGCUUUGGUAGAGAAGUACAUGUUCAUGAUGCAGAGGCUGCGAUACAAGCCAGCUCAAGCAGCCUUUGUCCUUUCUCAUUCAUGCUGCUGAUACCAAAGUGGGCUAUGCAGAUGUCCCACGUGUGAUGAUUUCCCUCAAUUCUAGCAUUGAAAUCUCCCAACAGGAACAGGUGUUUGCAAUCUGGGACCCUCCUGACAGCCUGGUCUAGUUCCUCGUAGAACUGGUCCUUGCUUUAUAGGCCAGAGUGCAUAGUUGGAAUGUAGAUGCUCAAGAUGUUAACUGGACAGGAGGUGGUUGAGAAGCAGAGGGAAAGCGACUUCCAGUACUUCCUGCCUUAAAUGGAUGCAGUUCCCACGCUAGCGGAGAUCAUUUGCUGAGGAAAACAAGGAUGAUUUGGGAGUAAUUGUCCUUGCAAGCUCCCCCCCAGGGCCGGGGGGAGUGAGGGUCACUCACAGAUCGUCUUGAUAACCGGUUCUCACUCCAGCAUGGAAUCUGAGAGACAGGAGACACUGAGUGGAAAAGCGUUCCACAUAUCAGUAACACCAGUAAUGCAGCCGUUAAGAGCAGAGGUUCUUCUGUAUAUUUGCAUGAAAUUGGCUCCAGUUUACAGAUGUUGCAGGAUGAAGGGGAUAAGAUUACAAUCUGCCAAGAGAAUCAGCUACUGGGUUGCAACGUUUCAAACUGGAAUGAAGAUCUCCUUCGUUGAAGAAUAUGGUAUGUCAGGGGGGAGGGGAGCCUUUACCCUUUUUUAUUAAUACAAUAUUUGCUAUAUAAAUGAUUUGGCAAACCUCCCCCUAAACAAUAACAACUGAUAAAGAGCAAAAAGAGAAAAAGACAACAGAAUUAUAUUUAUGGAUU
Molecule: non-coding RNA, 4021 nt
Organism: Podarcis lilfordi (Lilford's wall lizard)
Lineage: Eukaryota; Metazoa; Chordata; Lepidosauria; Squamata; Lacertidae
Source: the annotation of a GenBank genome assembly